Molecule: ribosomal RNA, 253 nt
Filed under: uncultured bacterium
Lineage: Bacteria
Description: partial 16S ribosomal RNA
Rfam family: Bacterial small subunit ribosomal RNA
Source: RNAcentral
UACGGGUGAGGCAAGCGUUGUUCGGAAUCACUGGGCUUAAAGCGCGUGUAGGCGGCUUGGUAAGUAUCUUGUGAAAUCCCUUUUCUCAAUGAAGGAACGGCGAGGUAUACUGCCGGGCUUGAGGUAGGUAGGGGUGCCUGGAACUCUAGGUGGAGCGGUGAAAUGCGUAGAUAUCUAGAGGAACGCCCGUGGCGAAAGCGGGGCACUGGGCCUUACCUGACGCUGAGACGCGAAAGCGUGGGUAGCAAACGGG